RNAcentral lists this long non-coding RNA (538 nucleotides) under Manihot esculenta (cassava). RNAcentral's name for it is "long non-coding RNA (MESC_LNC001277)". Lineage: Eukaryota; Viridiplantae; Streptophyta; Magnoliopsida; Malpighiales; Euphorbiaceae. The record is from RNAcentral.
ACAUAACACAGAAACAUGUAUACAUGCAUAACUCAUCAAAACCACUACUUCUCACUUAAACAUGCAUCUCUCUCCCUUAACUUCCAUAAAACCUUCAGAAAACACAUAAACAGGUUCAAGAGCAUUACUUACCUCCUGUAACAAGAAGCUGAACACUCUGAACUAAGGAAAACGGACCAACUCUCCUCAAACUCUCAAACUCGCACAAACGGAGCUUUUUGCUUCACAACAGUCAAAACCUUGUGACUUAUCAAAACACUCUGCAAGAGCUGCUCAAACUCAGCAAAUAAACCAGGGGAGACGUGGCCAAGCUUCUGGCAACAAGUUGGACAUAACACCUGUCCAAAAUGCUGACUAAGGGAUACAAAACUGCUGGCUAAGCAACUCAGCUUCGGCUGCCGGAUCGCAUGCAAACUCAUGCAACAUUCGGGGGCCGAACUAAAUCUUCGGAAGCCGAACAUUGAGCACUUUCGGCGGCCGAACUUAUCUUCGGCGGCCGAACUUGGCUCCUCUGCCUUGGUUCAUUUCAACUCAAAAC